CAAUCCUUCGUGUUGUCGAGUUUGUUUGUCUCAGAGUCAGAGAGCCGUGUCUCUGUGCAGUCAGAGGUUUUUGUACGGCGGCUCAAUGAGUUUGUAUCACUGUGGUACACGUUUGGUGGAGGAACCAGACUGGAUGUUGGAAGUGAUACUCGUCCCAUCCUGACAGUGCUGCCCCCCUCCAGUGAGGAGCUGCAGCAGGGCAAUGCCACAAUCACAUGUCUGGCCAACAAGGGCUUCCCCUCAGACUGGAGGCUGUCCUGGAAGAUGGACGGCAGCGGCAGCAUCACCUGGGAGGAGAGCAGGAGCCCUGUGUUGCUGCACAAGGACGGCCUCUACAGCUGGAGCAGCACCCUGAGGCUCCCUGCAGACCAGUGGGGGAAGGUGGGCUCUGUGACCUGUGAGGCCACCCAGGGCUGCCAGACUCUGGUCUCAGAGCCACUCAGGAGAGACCAGUGUUCCCAGUCCUGACCUGCCUCAGUGUGAUGUUGUUUUUACUGCUCAGUCUGCACUCUGUAACUGUCUAUCUUCUAUUAUAACAAAUAAAGACUAAAACAGUUUCUUUCUCACAACAACAACAUUUGUGGUUUCAGAUAAUAAAGAUGUUUUGCAAAGUAAAUUUAAAUCAGG
Non-coding RNA from Archocentrus centrarchus (flier cichlid), 627 nucleotides. Lineage: Eukaryota; Metazoa; Chordata; Actinopteri; Cichliformes; Cichlidae. The record is from the annotation of a RefSeq genome assembly.